This 414-nucleotide ribosomal RNA is filed under the name Stenotrophomonas maltophilia. RNAcentral's name for it is "bacterial SSU rRNA". It matches the Rfam family "Bacterial small subunit ribosomal RNA", at positions 1 to 412 of the family's 1533-position model. Lineage: Bacteria; Pseudomonadati; Pseudomonadota; Gammaproteobacteria; Lysobacterales; Lysobacteraceae. The record is from RNAcentral.
UAAGUGAAGAGUUUGAUCCUGGCUCAGAGUGAACGCUGGCGGUAGGCCUAACACAUGCAAGUCGAACGGCAGCACAGGAGAGCUUGCUCUCUGGGUGGCGAGUGGCGGACGGGUGAGGAAUACAUCGGAAUCUACUCUGUCGUGGGGGAUAACGUAGGGAAACUUACGCUAAUACCGCAUACGACCUACGGGUGAAAGCAGGGGACCUUCGGGCCUUGCGCGAUUGAAUGAGCCGAUGUCGGAUUAGCUAGUUGGCGGGGUAAAGGCCCACCAAGGCGACGAUCCGUAGCUGGUCUGAGAGGAUGAUCAGCCACACUGGAACUGAGACACGGUCCGACUCCUACGGGAGGCAGCAGUGGGGAAUAUUGGACAAUGGGCGCAAGCCUGAUCCAGCCAUACCGCGUGGGUGAAGAA